CUUCUUUCUGCUUAGAGUCCUAUUUCAAAAAUUCCUUCAGAAGUUUUCGCAGCGAAUACAUUUGCACCUGUCAGUUCACAGGAACCUAUCACUGUCUUCCAGGAACAGAAAACAUCGGAAAAGCAGAUUUGCAAAUGACUUUGGAUUCAGCAGGAAGAUAAUUUUAUGGGGCACUUGGACUUGGAAGUAGGCGUUUUGCAGAUUAAAGCAUAUGGUGUUCGAAUCCUCCCUGUCUGUCAUCAGGAACAGAUGAUGCCAGCCCACUCAAGCCUUUAGGCUCUAUGGCACUUCGUAGAGUUUCUGCCUUUAGCUGAAUCUUACCAUUAUCGCUGAGAACCCUUAGAACUGCAACUAAAACUGCGUUGUUGUAUCAUGCCAUUCGAAGGAGAACUGAGUCCAUCUGUAUCCACUAAUUUUUAAAGUCAACAGGCCAGCAGUACCCAGUUAACCGAGAUGUCAACACUGUGGAGUUGUAGGUCAUAUUUCAUCAUCUAGAAGGAUACACUGCUGCCAGGCUUGCAGUUUUCCAUACGUGCACUCACACCUGCAUCUACCGCUUGAUUAAGAAAUACUGUGGUAUCUUCAAUAUCACUGUGUGGUUACUGAUGCGUCCUCAAAUCUACUCACAGAAGAGGAAGGAGUUAAUGACUGCAACUGGCUGCAUGAACUCUCCAGCCUCUCCCAGGACUUCCCAAAGCAGAUGAUUUUUUUACGUCUCUGUGCCUGCAUUAAAGGGAAGGGCAAUAAGAAAAUGAGAUAAGCAUGUUUUCAAAACUCAAGCCAUAUCUACUUUGUGACAGAAUAAACCAAGCACCAUAACCAGAACAAACCAGUGACCAUGCUUCAGCUGCAUCUCAGACUGCCAGCCACUGCCAGGAAGGAGUGUCUGAAGGUGUUACAGUGGGUCAUCCUUGCUCGUCUUACACUGGCAGCAUAUAUGGAUUCGGAGUUGUGUCAUCGUUUUUUCAGAUCUGUCAUUAUGAAGGACAAAAUAAUGAAACUAUGACCUGUGAAUGGAGUGAAGCUCACCUUUGUGCUGCUCUGCCUUCAUCUGAAUGAAAUUCAACUGUUGGUUACGCUUUAAAAAGAAAAGGUUUUCCACUGUCUGAUCUCUUCAUUGGUAUGCUGCUGAUUUGUAUUGGGUUUAGGUGGUGUUCAGAAGAUUGCCUCAAUAUCAAUGAGAAUUUUUCACCAGUGUAACAUUUUUUUUUGGUAGUGAGCUAUAAAAUCAUCAGACUAUGGCUGACUGGCUAUUUCCUGUUCUUCUUAUUCUGCUUAAAUUUUUUGUUUUAAAAAAGGAACUUUUACCCCUUUUCUCAUAGAAUGAUAAUCUAAUGGUAAUUUACAGGUGAUGGAUAUAUUAAAAAUGCAAAUGAUUCUUCCACUAUUAUGAAACUUUAAUUUUCUUUUGAAAGUGACAGAUGUCCUGGCUACUUAAAGCCUUCCAAGGACUGCAGAUAGGUUCCAAGAAUAAGGAUCCUAAUUAAAAGUCAGUGUAAUGAUGAAGCUAAUUCUCU
RNAcentral lists this long non-coding RNA (1517 nucleotides) under Gallus gallus (chicken). Its description in RNAcentral is "lncRNA (ENSGALG00010002643.1)". Lineage: Eukaryota; Metazoa; Chordata; Aves; Galliformes; Phasianidae. The record is from RNAcentral.